CAUAGACCCAGAGCUGCUAGAUUCAUGCAAGUCCAAAAUGCUUCUUUCAAAUCACUUCCAAAGUAUGACCCUAGUGCUUAUGUUAUUAAGAUAAUCUUCAGUUUAGUUGUAAUGUGUAGGCUUCAAUUCUUUAGGUAUGGAGAGUGCACCACUCAUAUUUUGAGAUCAGAUUGUCUUUUACAGAUGAUAUAUAUAUAUAUAUUGUGGCAAUGGAAUCAGUAUUAUCCUAAUUUAAGUUUCAGUGUUAUAGCCAAAGACAGAAAGUUAUCGUUGAGUGCUUGGCAAUUUGUAACCUGGGAAAUAUUUAAUUUUUCUUUUUACUGAUUAAUAUAGUUUCCAGAAUACAUUCCUCCUCAUUCUCAACCUUCCUGCUCCAUGUGUUGAUGAACAUCUACACAGACAUUAUGCGGUUGAGAAACACUGGGUUAGAGACUUUGUUAUGGGGCCCAUUGUUCUCCAUCUUUGCUCCCUUUUUCUUUUUGUCCUUUAGCCUGCUGUUGAUUUAGAACAGGAAAGCAAAUCACAUCCGAGGCAAGAAUUAGAAGAAUCCAGUAUCUCUUGCAUUCCCACUUAUCUAAUAUAUUAUUUUAAAAAAUUGCAAAAAUAUUUUAUUUUCUUAAAUUGUUAUGAGGUUGAAUAUUGUAUGUAGCUUUAAGCAACUAUCCCUGUGACAGUAAGAUGCCAUUUUGUGUUUUUUUUUUCACUUUCAUGUCUUUUAUUUCCUACAGAGCAAUGAUGAAUUGGGUUUUUUUUUUCUUUGAAAUAUGUAAAAAGGAUUUAAGCCUAUUUCACGAUAAGGCUAAUAAUAUAACAAAUUGCCACUGCCAUCAAUGCAAGUGGAAAGCCAAGGAUAGCAGUUGAUGGUCUCAAGCUGAGGAGCCCAAGUCUGCUCAUCCUGUAAUAUAGGUGCCAAACCAAUCAGUAGGAAUUGCAAUUUUGACCAGCUAGCUGAAUAAUAAAAGUAAUUGUCUUCACUUGGCACUGCUGACCUCCCAGGUUUGAUGGAAUACUUGGGACAUUUGCCCAAGCUGAAAUGUAUAAGAGGGUUGGAGGAGAGAAUUCUAAUGGUCUGUAACCGUGUAUAAAAGUUGUGAAAUAAAAUCGUCCGCAACCAUGUGGCUCUUUUUAA
Protobothrops mucrosquamatus (brown spotted pit viper) is the source of this 1129-nucleotide long non-coding RNA. RefSeq lists it as uncharacterized. NCBI's taxonomy places the organism in Eukaryota, Metazoa, Chordata, Lepidosauria, Squamata, Viperidae. The transcript is spliced from 2 exons. The record is from RefSeq and is a predicted model, not a curated record.